Mobula hypostoma (lesser devil ray) is the source of this 849-nucleotide long non-coding RNA. RefSeq lists it as uncharacterized. The transcript is spliced from 5 exons. NCBI's taxonomy places the organism in Eukaryota, Metazoa, Chordata, Chondrichthyes, Myliobatiformes, Myliobatidae. The record is from RefSeq and is a predicted model, not a curated record.
UACAGACCCUAAUAACAUUAUUUCAUAACUGUUUCAUAUAAUCUUUAGUGUCUGAUCGCUUUCUUCAAGAUUUGUACACUUGAUUUCACUGAUGUACUAGCUACUAGUCAAGGUGCUCCAGUUUCCUCCCAUGUUCCCAAGACAUACAGACAUCCACAAAACAGAAAAAAAUACCCCAAAGAAUGAAUGACAGAAACAUCAGAACCCAAAGCCCUUCCCACUCCCACAUACAAGCAACAGCAAGAUCAUCACAAAAGGAUCAGGAGGAGGAAACCGAGGUCCAUGAGCCAGUCCUCAUCGCAGGAGCAGAGGUGGAGAGGGUCAGCAAUGUUAAAUUCCUCAGAGUUAUCACUUCAGAGGACCUGUCCUGGGUCCAGCAGGUGCCGUGGACAAUUCUGAUUUGAUGGAGACAGACGUGAAAGCACAGAGGAACAUCUGGAGAAAUCUCUGAAAUGUCAGUUUGCUGCCGUUGUUACUGCGCGAUCGUGAAAUCUUCCGGAGGGAAGCCCCCAAAAUCCCUGGCUUUGCCUGCUGCUGGCGACCGAGAUGGAGGUUGAAUCGUUUGGAUAGAGAUGGUGCUCUGUACUCGGUGUCGGAGGGCUGAUUGGAGGCUCAAAGUUUUCGGAUGACUCAGAGUCAGACUGUGGUCGGGCAUGGCAGGGAGAGUUUUCUUCCUUCUCCCGUCUGCGUGAGAUGUAGGACAUUUGAGAGACUUUGAACUUUUUACUGUGCCAUGGACUGUUCUUCAUCAAGUUAGGAUAUUGUUGCACUGUUGUAACUAUAUGUUAUAAUUAUGUGGUUUUGUUAGUUUUUUCAGUCUUGGUUUGUCCUGUGUUUUGUGAUAUCACA